UGUUUUGGAUUCUAUUUUCAAUACACUAAAAUUAAUUCAUUUAUUUACUCUAUAGCAAUAUAAAAGGGGUCAUUAGUAUUCGUUUUUUAUUACAGUUACUUACCUUUUACUCAAUACAGACAAUUUAGUAGUCUAUACCAAAAAAUUCAAAAUGAAAUACUUCAACAUCAUUUUUGUUUUGUGUUUUGUUAUGUGCAUCGUUUCCUUUUCGAUUGUCUCAGCUUCAUCUCUGCGUAACAUUGAAAGUAAACCUUUGGUAAACGAAAUGGAUAGAGACGGCGACGGCAGUACUGCUCUUGAUGAUGAUGAUCAAACUAAAGGUUCAGUUCCACUUUAAGAAUUUUCAAAUAUAUGAUAAAACAUUAAUUCAAUAAAAUUAUAAUAUUUUCAGUUAAAAAUCAAUUUAUAUAAAUUUCAUAAUUAAAAUUGUUAUACAUUUUAUAAUGAUUUUGUUUCCAAAAUAAAAUUUCUCAUAACAGUU
Daktulosphaira vitifoliae (grape phylloxera) is the source of this 481-nucleotide long non-coding RNA. RefSeq lists it as uncharacterized. The transcript has 4 exons. The record is from RefSeq and is a predicted model, not a curated record. Lineage: Eukaryota; Metazoa; Arthropoda; Insecta; Hemiptera; Phylloxeridae.